UGCGAAGUGGGCUAGCGUUGCUCGGAAUCACUGGGCGUAAAGCGCACGUAGGCGGAUCUUUAAGUCAGGGGUGAAAUCCCGAGGCUCAACCUCGGAACUGCCUUUGAUACUGGGGAUCUCGAGUCCGGAAGAGGUUGGUGGAACUCCGAGUGUAGAGGUGAAAUUCGUAGAUAUUCGGAAGAACACCAGUGGCGAAGGCGGCCAACUGGUCCGGUACUGACGCUGAGGUGCGAAAGCGUGGGGAGCAAACAGG
This 253-nucleotide ribosomal RNA is filed under the name uncultured bacterium. RNAcentral's name for it is "partial 16S ribosomal RNA". It matches the Rfam family "Bacterial small subunit ribosomal RNA", at positions 524 to 776 of the family's 1533-position model. The record is from RNAcentral.